GGAGGGGCCAUGACUCAGUGGUAGAGCAUCUGCUUGGCAUACAGAGGGUCACAGGUUCAAGCCCCAGCAUCUCCA
RNAcentral lists this transfer RNA (75 nucleotides) under Sphaerodactylus townsendi. Its description in RNAcentral is "tRNA-Ala". The record is from RNAcentral. Lineage: Eukaryota; Metazoa; Chordata; Lepidosauria; Squamata; Sphaerodactylidae.